This 800-nucleotide ribosomal RNA is filed under the name uncultured bacterium. Its description in RNAcentral is "bacterial SSU rRNA". It matches the Rfam family "Bacterial small subunit ribosomal RNA", at positions 8 to 808 of the family's 1533-position model. The record is from RNAcentral.
AGAGUUUGAUCCUGGCUCAGGAUGAACGCUGGCGGCGUGCUUAACACAUGCAAGUCGAGCGAAGCACUUAAGUUUGAUUCUUCGGAUGAAGACUUUUGUGACUGAGCGGCGGACGGGUGAGUAACGCGUGGGUAACCUGCCUCAUACAGGGGGAUAACAGUUAGAAAUGACUGCUAAUACCGCAUAAGACCACAGGAUCGCAUGAUCCGGUGGUAAAAACUCCGGUGGUAUGAGAUGGACCCGCGUCUGAUUAGCUAGUUGGUGGGGUAACGGCUCACCAAGGCGACGAUCAGUAGCCGACCUGAGAGGGUGACCGGCCACAUUGGGACUGAGACACGGCCCAAACUCCUACGGGAGGCAGCAGUGGGGAAUAUUGCACAAUGGGCGAAAGCCUGAUGCAGCGACGCCGCGUGAAGGAUGAAGUAUUUCGGUAUGUAAACUUCUAUCAGCAGGGAAGAAAAUGACGGUACCUGACUAAGAAGCCCCGGCUAACUACGUGCCAGCAGCCGCGGUAAUACGUAGGGGGCAAGCGUUAUCCGGAUUUACUGGGUGUAAAGGGAGCGUAGACGGCAUGGCAAGUCUGAAGUGAAAGCCCGGGGCUCAACCCCGGGACUGCUUUGGAAACUGUCAGGCUAGAGUGCUGGAGAGGUAAGUGGAAUUCCUAGUGUAGCGGUGAAAUGCGUAGAUAUUAGGAGGAACACCAGUGGCGAAGGCGGCUUACUGGACAGUAACUGACGUUGAGGCUCGAAAGCGUGGGGAGCAAACAGGAAUAGAUACCCUGGUAGUCCACGCCGUAAACG